GAUGAACGCUAGGCGACAGGCUUAACACAUGCAAGUCGAGGGGCAGCAUGAACUUAGCUUGCUAAGUUUGAUGGCGACCGGCGCACGGGUGAGUAACGCGUAUGCAACUUACCUAUCAGAGGAGAAUAGCUCAUCGAAAGAUGAAUUAAUGCUCCAUAAAACAGGGGUCCCGCAUGGGAAUAUUUGUUAAAGAUUUAUCGCUGAUAGAUAGGCAUGCGUUCCAUUAGGCAGUUGGCGGGGUAACGGCCCACCAAACCGACGAUGGAUAGGGGUUCUGAGAGGAAGGUCCCCCACAUUGGUACUGAGACACGGACCAA
RNAcentral lists this ribosomal RNA (317 nucleotides) under uncultured bacterium. Its description in RNAcentral is "bacterial SSU rRNA". It matches the Rfam family "Bacterial small subunit ribosomal RNA", at positions 28 to 334 of the family's 1533-position model. The record is from RNAcentral.